Molecule: long non-coding RNA, 8353 nt
Filed under: Solanum tuberosum (potato)
Lineage: Eukaryota; Viridiplantae; Streptophyta; Magnoliopsida; Solanales; Solanaceae
Description: long non-coding RNA (STUB_LNC003866)
Source: RNAcentral
UUUGCAAUGACUUUGAGUAAAAUGUAUCAUUCCGUGACUUUGGCUGCAAUCGAGCUGAGAAAUGAGCAUAAACUUAGGAAGAGUACCUGUGGUUUAAGUUUGGUAAUUCACAAAUAAAUAUAGUUUGGUAGUUUUUGACUAAUUAUUUGGUAAUUCAAAAACAAAUAUAGACACACAAAAUGAUGUGCCUUCACAGGAGAGUAACUGGUCAUGGCAAAGUAAGCUGCAACAGUGUAAGUUUCACUAAGCUUUAUGAAGAGUCCCUGUGAGCAAUUCGAUUGUAACAUCUUGUAUCAAGCUUCAGCUGUGUAAGUUUCACUAAGCUUUGUGAAGAGUCCCUGUGAACAAUUCGAUUGUAACAUCUUGUAUCAAGCUUCAGCUGUGUAAGUUUCACUAAGCCUUGUGAAGAGUCCCUGUGAGCAAUUCUAUUGUAACAUCUUGUAUUAGAUCUUUAUUUCUGCAACUUUGAGAAAUUAACUAAAUUAAAGGAAAGUAACCUGGGAGUGGGACGUGAUAAAUCAACUGUAGAUAUUGGGAUUUAACCACCUCCUCUGUUUGAUAGAUAAGUACUUGAAACUACUUUUUGAUAGAUAAGUGAAACAUAAGUUGGUGUUUUUCAAUACUUUAAAAGAACGUGGAUAUUAUGAACUUAGACUGGGAAAUCAAUGUUGGAAUCUCUAAUUGCAUCACCUUCUUUGUCUAGCCAAAUUUUGAUAAUGCCUAAAAUGUGAAACUCAUAUAUUUUCAAAUUCGAAAUUUAAGCAAGUAGCUCUCUCAUCUUGCCCCUGUUAGCUUGUUAUUGUUUAAACAUGUGAUGUCAGUAGUUCCACAUUAUUGAUUAACAAAGAAUCAAAAUCAAUUUAUCAAUGAACAAUGAAAUGAUAUGGUUCUUACAUAUAAGCUAAAAAGGGGAAAAUAAAUUAGCAAAUCAUAAAGACUCAAUUACCAAAAAAGCAGCAUAAAUAUCCAACUAAUUUGAAUCUACCAUUCCAACAUCAUAUUUUUCACUUUGGUGGAAUUCAUCUAUAAUUUACAUGGUUCCAACUUCACAUUUGUUGUAGCAUUUUCUGCUAAUUCAACAGUUUCUUUUACUUAAAGUCCAUGGAUAUAGUUCAUAUGAACUUACCUCAUUUGCAAGGAAAAACACAAUUUUGUUGAGAAACAACAACCAAGGAAAUCUUAGUAAAUAUCAGUUGCUACCUUCUACCUGAAUUUUAAUCUCUUCCUCCCUCAUUUUAUACUUUCACUAUUCCCAGUUUUGUUAAGAAAGGAAACAACAACCACAGAUCAAUUAUAUUAGACAGGAACCAGUAUUUUAGGGACAACUUAUAUUUCUGUCAAUCUGAACUACAUUUAAGGUUCUUCCAUGCUACCCCUAAGAAGGUCACUAUGAUAAUUGAAUGUUCUAGGAAGAUAUUAGUAAAAAGUAGGAGUAAACAAUUUGGAGAGAGCUUAGUGGGAAUCAAAUAGAAAGUUGCACAAUUGUCUCACCAUGACUUUUUCACAUACAAAGUUGUCAUUUUAAAGCCUUUAUAUGACGAUUUUAUAUAUUUUCAUUUUUAAUUUAACAUGGUACCUUUUUAUAUGAUGCUUCAAUUAAGAAUGAGAAAACAAGAAUUUCAAAUUACAUUCAUAGAAUUCAAAAUACAGUUGCAAUAUGAAAACUCAAGAUAUAUCAAUGUAAAACGAACAACGACAAUUUUGGCAACCUUUGACUUACUAAUAAGGUUGAAAUGCAAUAUAUUAGACAUUGCCUCAUGCUUCUUUAGUUUUAUUUCGUUUUCAGGGAUUUAUGACACCCGACUAACGUUGAAGAAGUGCAGAACUUAGUUGUGGAGUACUGUGUCUCAAAUUAUGCAAUGAAGGAACUCAUAUCUGUUAAAAGAUUUCUAAUUUCUGUCGAAGGCGAGGAGCUACCUGUAAGACAUUAGAAAUAAGCUAACUGGAAUUAAUCUUUAAAAGUGUUAAGAAAGCUCACAGUCUUCUCCAAUGGAAGCUGUGGCUAUGGAGUAUUUGAGAAUAAAGGAGAGCAGGGAUGAAAAGUAAACCAACUGCAAUAUUAUUUCAACCUUCUUGUUCAUAUUACAUUCUAUGUAUUAGUAUUUAUACAGAUACUAAAACGUCACUAUCUCUACUGAAUACAUCAUCUAUUUGUAACAAACUAUUUACUGUUCUAACUAACUAACAAUAUAACUAACAUCUUGGCAAUGACUAAUCUAACAGAAUGAACUAAUAGUUGGCACUACAUGCCAGAUGCUUUAUCUUCACACUCCCCCUCAAGCUUAGUCGUAUGAAACAAGUUGAAUACUCCAAGCUUGAAUAAUAGAAAAUCAUGUUGUGCAUGUCCCAAUCCUUUUGUCAAGAUGUCUGCUAGCUGAAGAUCUGUCCUGACAUGUUCUGUUUGUAUUAUUCCUUUUUGUAUUUUUUCCCUAAUAAAAUGGCAGUCAAUUUCAAUGUGCUUCGUCCUUUCGUGAUACAUGGGAUUUGCUGCAAUUUGUAAAGCAGCCUUACUAUCACAGAACAGUUUCACAGGUAAUGUCAACUUCCAGUUCAGUUCUGCAAACAACCCAACUAACCAAAUCACCUCUGCAGUAGCACUUGCCAUACUCCUGUAUUCAGCCUCUGCUGAGCUUUUGGCUAUAGUGUUCUGUUUCUUGGAUUUCCAAGAUAUAAGUGAGUCACCAAUCUUUACAACAAAACCACUAACCGACUUUCUUGUCAUGGGACAAGUUGCCCAGUCUGCAUCACAAUAAACACUCAAAUUGUGUGAAGUCUCAGAGGAUAAGAGUAUUCCCAAACCAGGAGAAUUCUUCAGGUAUCUAACCACUCUUAAUGCAGCUUCCAUAUGAGAUAUUUUAGGUGAGUGCCUAAAUUGACUAAGGUUCUGUACAACAUAGGCAAUAUCAGGUCUUGUCAUUGUGAGGUAGAGUAGUUUGCCUACUAGCUUUUGAUAACUUGUAGGAUCCUUUAAAGACUCAUCAUCCAAUGAAUUUCCUAAAUUAACGUCUAGGCCCUUAUCAUAUAAUGCACUGGUAAGCCUAUGGUUUACUUAAGGUGGAGUGCUAGCAGGUUUUGAUCCUGUUAAACCAAGAUCUGAAAUUAGAUCAAGACUAAACUUUCUUUGACAAACUAAGAUACCCUUCAUGUUUCUAGCAAUUUCAAGACCAAGGAAGCCUCAACUAUUUUGGUGAAUAAAGAGUAGUCAUGAUGACUCUGAGAAAAUCCAGAACUCAGUAAAGCUUCUGUAAGUUUUAAAUUCCACUGUCUGGAUGCCUGUUUGAGACCAUAAAGGGAUUUUUGAAGCUUACAGACCUUGGUGGACUCCCCUUUGCUGGAAAAACCAGGUGGUUGAAGCAUGUAGACAUCCUCAUCUAGAUCACCUUGAAGGAAAGCAUUGAAUACAUCCAUUUAGUAAAGCUUCCAACCAUGCAUAGCGGCUAUUGAUAAAACAGCCUGGACAGUGACUAUUUUCACCACUGGGGAGAAAGUUUCUUGAUAAUCCAAGCCUUCUUCCUGAGUGUAACCCUUAGCAACCAGUCGAGCCUUGUACCUUUCAACCUCAUCUGAAGCAUUGUAUUUCACUUUAAACACCCACUUACAACCAAUGGCUCUCUUUCCAGGAGGUAGAUCAACAAGACACCAAGUGUUAUUGUCAUCAAGGGAUUGAAGUUCUUGUUGCAUUGCAAGUAACCAUUCAGAAUGCCCUGCAGCCUCAGCAUAUGUAACAGGCUCUUUGAUGGCAGAAUAAGCACAUAUAGACUUGUAAUAGGGAACAACAAUAUUAGCAUAGGACAUGUAGUUUGAUAGAGGAUAUUGGCAAGAAUUAGAAGGUGGAUCAUGAGAUGGUAAAGGAGCAUGAACAAAGUCAUGAAGCUAGCCUGGUGGUUUAACCAUUCUACUUGAUUUCCUAGUUGCAACAGGAGGAAUUUGAGUAGGUGUGGAGGCAGGAGUGGAAUCAUGAGGAACAGGAUCCAAGUCUUCUACAUGUGUGUCAUUGACUUGUAGGUCAUGGCAAGGUGAAACAUUUACUUGAAAUGGAAAAGUAUUUUCAUGGAAAGUGACAUCUCUACUAACAAAGAACAAUUUGCUAUUCUGACCAUAAAGAGCAUAACCCUUUUGUGUGCUGGAAUAACCUAGAUGAACUCUCUUUUCAGCUCUAGGACCAAAUUUGUCACUACAAGCUUUGGUAAUGGUUGCAUAGCAAAGGCAACCUAGAACUCUCAAAUGCUGAAUGUUAGGUGUCUUACCAUAAAAUACCUCAAAAGAACACUUCCCUUGUAGAACUAUAGAAGGGAUUCUAUUGAUAAGAUAAACAACACACUGAACACACAACCCCCAAAAUCUCAAUGGAAUAUGUCCUUGAAAUCUAAGUGCUCUGGCAACUUCAAGGAUUUGUCUGUGUCUCCUCUCAACCACCCCAUUUUGUUGGGGUGUAUGAACACAAGAACUUUGGUGUAUUAUGCCUGCAGCUCUAAAGUAACUUUUACAGUGUGUAUUGAAAAACUCAGUACCAUUGUCACUUCUAAACACAUUGAUGCAAGUAUUAAACUGAGAUUGGAUAAGCAACAAAAACUCUUGAAUAACAGUACUAACAUCACUUUUCAAAUUCAACAGACACAACCAAGUCAUCCUACUACAAUCAUCAACUAAAGUCAAGGAAAACCUUUUACCAUCAUAGGUAGGUACCCUGUAAGGACCCCAAACAUCUCCAUGAACCAAGUCAAAAGGUUUAGAUGCUCUACUCAUACUUCUUGAAAAUGGAAAUCUAGUUUGUUUUGCCAAAGGACAUACAGGGCAAGAAAAUACUACAUCAUCCUUAGAUUAUUAGGGACAUUUGGUGAAGUAUUUUGCCUGGAAUGUGACCAAGCCUCAUGUGCCAAAGUUCAUCAUCACUCCUGGUCCUUACAGAAGCUGCAGAAUAGUCUUGUUUCUUGUGAUCCCAGUAGUAUAAGCCUCCUUCUAGCCUACCAAUCCCCUUCACCUUCCCAGUGUGAAGGUCCUGCAGUAGACAAUAGACUGGAUAAAAUGCCAUACAACAUUAUAAUUCCCUUGUUAACUUGGGAACUGAUAACAGGUUGUAUUGAAAAUCAGGAACAUGGAGGACAUUCUGAAUAACACCUUGAGGCAACCUACAAUGUCCUAUGUGAGAUAUAGAUGUUUUACUUCCAUUAGGAAAAUAAACAUGCUGACUUUGUUGUUUACAGGUUUCAUAUAGCAAUCUUAGAUCUGAAACCAUGUGAUUAGUGGCACCUGUAUCAACUAUCUACCUAUCAGGCAUAUUACUAACAUGAAAUGAGGUAACAAUACGAGCAGAAUGAGCAGAAGGAGCUGCUAUUCCAUUUGAAUGUUGAUCUUUGACAGGGAUGGGCAUAUUCUGUCCAUGUGCAUGAUAUUGGAUUGGUGUAAUCUGUCCAUGUGCAUAUAUUCCCAUUUGUCCUUGACCCCUAUGAGAAACCUCUGGUGGAUAACCAUUAAAACCAUAAUUGUUUGAGCUGUAAUCAUUAUAAUGUGAACCUGUUGAUUGUGGAUGAAAAUUGUUACCAUGAUGAGGGAACUGAUCCAAAGACCCCCUUGGGUAUUGAUCACCCAAGAAAGAGUUAUUAGCAGCAAUUCCCUCUUUCUUCUUGCCUUUGUAAUUAGGAGGAUAACCAACAAGCUUAUAACAAUUUGCCUUAAUAUGACCUUUAAUCUUACAAAAAUCACAUCUCUCAUUCCAGUGUUCAUUAUGUGGUUUUCUAUAGGUCUGUGAUCCUCGUGCACUCCAUAGUGCAGUAAUAUCAUUACCUUCCCCAAUCGAAUUAGGCGUAGUUUUCAGACCAGUACGCUUUUGACAUUCGUCCUCAAUGAUUAGUGCAUAAACCUGAUUUAGAGUAGGUUCAGUUGUCUUCAUAAGGAUUUUUUAUCUUGCUUGAUCAUAAGAAUCAUUUAAGCCUCCUAAAAACUGUAACAAGCGUUGUUGCUGAAGAUGUUCCAUAUUCCCCUUCCCCUUAUCGCAACCACAAUCAAUAGAAGGGACCAUUGCAUCAAACUCAGACCACAAUUCUUUCAAUUUGGUGAAAUACUCAGCUACAGAGUUUGUUCCUUGUACAAUUGUGUUGAUUUCUCGAUGCAACUGAUAAAUUCUCAUACGAUUGACCUUGUCAAAUCGUUCCUUCAAAUCUUCCCAAACUAAAAAAGCAUUUGAAGCAUAAACAAUGCCACUAAGAAAAGAUGGGGAAACAGUGUUCAUGAUCCAAGAAAGUAUCAAUGCAUUGCAGGUUUCCCAAUGUUCGUGAUGUUCAUCUUGAACUGAAUCUUUCGUGCAAACACCUGUAACAAAACCCAAUUUCCUUUUUGCCUGUAAAGCUAUCGUCAUCGAUCUCCGCCAUAUCCCAUAGUUUUCUGACCCUUUCAAUUGAACUGGAAUGAGAACUGCUCCAGGAGUAUCUGAUGGAUGUACGUACAGAGGAUGUGUGUGAUCGAUCCGCUCUGUCAUUGAAGAUCUGGUGACAGGAACAAAAUGCAAAGCAAGAAAGCGUAAACGAGAUUUACAGACGUAGCUCUGAUACCAUGUUAAGAAAGCUCACAGUCUUCUCCAAUAGAAGUUGUGGCUAUGGAGUAUUUCAGAAUAAAAGAGAGCAGGGAUGAAAAGUAAACCAACUGCAAUAUUAUUUCAACCUUCUUGUUCAUAUUACAUUCUAUGUAUUAGUAUUUAUACAUAUACUAAAACGUCACUAUCUCUACUGAAUACAUCAUCUAUUUGUAACAAACUAUUUACUGUUCUAACUAACUAACAAUAUAACUAACAUCUUGACAAUGACUUCUAACAGAAUGAACUAAUAGUUGGCACUACAUGCCAGAUGUUUUAUCUUCACACAUAUUGACCCUAAUUUUGAUUUUAAGAGGUAAAUUAUCAUUAACAUAUGGAAAAGGGUCGAACUAUUAGAUUUAGACUAUAUUUAUUCUCCAUUUCAUAUUGGUAGAAAAAUUACCUUGUCGUUAGCACUAAGGACCACAAAUACCUUUUAACUUAAUGAGUCCUUUGUACUGAUAUAGCACUUGCACUGUAUGCCAGAUUUUUUAUAUUCACAAAAAGCCUCGACUGAUGUGAUAGUCACUCGACUGAUGUGAUAGUCACCCGAAUGACUGAAUGUUUUGUCUCUAUAAAUUAGCCUGCAAUUUUUAUCUCAAGACGGAAGGAAUACACAUACAGGUUGCAGCGCAAUCACUAACUUGAGAUAUCAGAUUACUAUUAUAUAAAAUGAGCAUAUACCUGUCUACAAUUCAUCAUCAUAAUUCAUAUUGGUCUUACCCUUCGGGCAGUGGUUUGGGUUUGGGACUUCCAUGUUGGAGGUCUCAAGUUCGAAACCCCUUGCUAAUGAAAGAAAGCAAGGGGUUUGCCUUCUGAGUCGAGCUCGUCGCAUCGGGCUUGCUUAGUACGGGUUACCUUUCCUAUGUGGUUUGCGAGCUAUUGCAUAGGAGUGGGGUUACCCUGUGCGCACCCAAAGGGUAGCGACUGCGGGUUUCCUUUGUCAUCAAAAAUAAUAAUUCAUAUUGGUCUUUCUUGAAAAACAUCUUCAAGAAUUUCAUACUAUGACCUCCUAAUACAACAUUCCGCACUAUGAUAGAAUUUAUUAGUCAUUGUUGGACUUCCUUGCAUAUACUAAGUAAGCACACUAUAACACUUUAAAGUACUUUAGAGAGCAUCUAAUUUGCAUUAGAAUGUCCAUUUAAUUAAAAUCUAUUGGAAACUUGAUAAGAGUAUCAAAAUAGGGCUCGAAACAAUAUGAAAGAACAAUAAAACCAAAAGUCUCUCUUCAAAUUUCAAUAAUCUUGAAACUAAAAAGGUUAAUUUUCAAAUAAAAACCUACAUCUGGAGUCCCCAAAAGCAAGAGCAGGGAAAAUAAUUCAGAGGGAUUAGCGACAAGACUCAUCAAUAUUUCGUUUGUUCAGUAUAUAUUGCAAAGAAUCUUACCGAAUUAUUUAGUUGUUUCAGGCAUAUCAUCGAACACCUUGGGUUCAUCAAUCUUCCCCCAAAAUUAUUGCAACUGAAUAAAAAAAAAGUAAUACAUGCAUACAGAAAAUGUAGUAAAAUAUUAAACGGAACUAUGAGUAUGAUCAAAUUCAGAAAAGAAAAAACAAAGAAGAAGAAACAAAUCGAGAAGGGAAAAAUGGAGCGCCAUUUUUCCUCCUUUGGUAAUUGUUAGUGGGAAGAAAGCUUUUCAUUUGCAAUAGCAGUGGCAAGAAGGGAAGCACACGCGUCAAACCUAAAUGGCAAGCCGUUGGAGCUUGUUAAUAGGUCAGAGUAGCAAAAUGACAGAACUACCCUGAUUGUCCGACGAAACCACCACUUAUUAAGAAUGAUGUUUGAUUG